AGAACGAACGCUGGCGGCAGGCUUAACACAUGCAAGUCGAGCGCCCCGCAAGGGGAGCGGCAGACGGGUGAGUAACGCGUGGGAAUCUACCGUGCCCUACGGAACAACUCCGGGAAACUGGAGCUAAUACCGUAUACGCCCUUUUGGGGAAAGAUUUAUCGGGGUAUGAUGAGCCCGCGUUGGAUUAGCUAGUUGGUGGGGUAAAGGCCUACCAAGGCGACGAUCCAUAGCUGGUCUGAGAGGAUGAUCAGCCACAUUGGGACUGAGACACGGCCCAAACUCCUACGGGAGGCAGCAGUGGGGAAUAUUGGACAAUGGGCGCAAGCCUGAUCCAGCCAUGCCGCGUGAGUGAUGAAGGCCCUAGGGUUGUAAAGCUCUUUCACCGACGAAGAUAAUGACGGUAGUCGGAGAAGAGCCCGGCUAACUUCGCGCCAGCAGCCGC
RNAcentral lists this ribosomal RNA (442 nucleotides) under uncultured bacterium. RNAcentral describes it as "SSU rRNA". It matches the Rfam family "Bacterial small subunit ribosomal RNA", at positions 26 to 518 of the family's 1533-position model. The record is from RNAcentral.